RNAcentral lists this long non-coding RNA (24393 nucleotides) under Zea mays. RNAcentral's name for it is "long non-coding RNA (ZMAY_LNC004867)". The record is from RNAcentral. Lineage: Eukaryota; Viridiplantae; Streptophyta; Magnoliopsida; Poales; Poaceae.
UCCAAGAGCUCCGUGUUGUGGCCCAAACUGCCACCGUCGUCGUCUCUGUCUCCAUCAGGGUCUUCUCCAGCAGCCGGGAUGCCCUGUGGUGGUGCAGGGGGCAUCUCUGGCUAAGACGUAGGGGAGGGCUACCUCCCAGACUCCACCUCCUGCUGAGGCACGGGGCAAGAGUCAUGUUGCUCUUGCUCCUAGCUUCGGCACUCCUACUCCUCGCGCAGGCGGCGAUGCAGUCUCUCCAGGUGGCUAGACUGACCUGUCACCGUGCGGCGUAGUGGGCGCUUCACAAGGUGAGAGGGUAAUAAAGGGAUCACCGACUAACGUCCAGUGCAUCUAAGACGGGUCAUCUACAAAAGACAUCGUAAGCACAAGAGUGAGAAAAGGGUACUUUAUUACAUCAAGAUGUCCAACGCAUCCAUAGAGUCAUUAACAUAACACUGUCAUUAACAUGAUCAAAGUGCAGAAUACGAAACAUAGAGAUAUGGCCUUCACAGGCAGCUGACUGGGGGUUUUCCACUAACACGACUAAAAUUCAUCGUAGUCCUGAAACUCUUCGAAGUCCUCCAUGUUUCCUGCAUCUCCUCCUAAGCACUGAUUGCAAUGGGGACAACCUGGGGUGGGUGGUUUUUAAAGCAAGGGUGAGUACACAUUAACGUACUCAGCAAAUGUCUCGUUUGACUAAAGUGGACUAGAUGUAUGUGGAGUUAAGGUUAAAGCAGUUGCUUUUAGUUGGUAAAGUAUUUAUUACUAGUAAUAAGCCAAAUUUUAGUAAUAAACCCGGUUAUUACCCAAGAGUACUCCCUCCAAGAAGAAAUACCAGAAACCAUAGUUAUAAUCAUCAUCAGUAACCAUCAUCAUAUUAAGCAAAGUGAGCUCGGAAGAAGACAUAGUGCAAGUCUAAAUGGACCAAGUAAAAAGGUAAGCUCUGUACACUCAGUAAAUUGUUUUGUGUGCUAUUCAUAUUUGUCUAAGUGCCAGGGACUUUAUGAAGUCAAGACAAAAGGAGCAAAAGAGAACAAAGAAAGAAAAAGAAAAGGCGUGUUGGACUGAAGAGCACCGGACGGUCCGGUGCCUCUCAGUCCAGUGCACGGUCCGGCCAAUUGCCUGCUCUCGGGAAUUCUAGCUUGUGUCGGCUAUAAUUCAUAGGACCGUCUGUGCGGAGCACCGGACUGUCCGGUGUGCCAGCCAUCAACGGCUAGCUGUCACGUUGGCCGAGGGCCAACGGUCAAGUGGUGCACCAGACAGUCUGGUGCCCCCAUCGGACGGUCCAGUGCCCCCAGAACAGGAAACCAGCCAAUCAGGGAUUCAUAUCCAUUGCACUGUUCACUGCCCGGUGUGCACCGGACAGUCCAGUGCACCCACGGAUAGAAGGCAACUAGGGCCUUCCAAAGGAGCUCCAAUGGCUCCUAGGUCCCUUAGGGCUAUAAAAGGGACCCCUAGGCGCAUGAAGCACCAUACCAAGCAUCCAUUGAACAUUCUACAACGCUGAGACUUCGUAAGCACGCAAUUGUUUCAUUGAGAUAAAGAUUUGAGCGCUUCUUUGAGCUGUGACUCCGUUGUGUUGUUUUCGUGUGCUCUUUUCUUGACUUGUGUGUGUGUUGCUGCUGUGACUUAAGUUCUUGUGUGUGUUUCUACUUCCCCUUACUCUAGUGUUCAUUCGAGAUCAAUUGUGUAAGGCAUGAGAGACUCCAAAUUGUGGAGAUUCCUCACAUGGGAUAUUAUUGAGAUAAAUAGAGAACCGUGGUAUUCAAGUUGAUCUUUGGAUCUCUUGAAAGGGGUUGAGUGCAACCCUCGUCCAUUGGGACACCACAACAUGGAGUAGGCAAGUAUUCUAUACUUAACCGAACCACGGAAUAAACAUCGCCGAGUCACUUGUCUUUAUCUUAUUGUGAUUUUCUCUCUAUUCACUUCACUUACAUAAUUGCUCUAAGUUUAAUACUUACUUAGUGAAGAGCAAUUAAGUGAAUAAGUUCUCUCCUCUUAUCCUCCUUAUUCGAACUAGGUUUUUGCUUUCACUAAUCCAAUAUUAAUCCAAAUUUGUUUUGUUGAGCCGUUUUUACAGGAUCACCUAUUCAUCCCCUCUAAGUGCCAUCACUUUAUAGCUUCAUCUGACGGUGGAGAUUAUUUUCGUGAUGUGGCCUAGCUGAUUUGCUAGGAAACACACAUGUUUUAGAAGGGUAAGAUUCUAUUGCCUAAAUCCUAGAUUUAGCAAGUAAUCAAAUAAUAUAGGAAGCGAAAAAACUCGUCUUCUCCAACAGUUCUCUAAAGAUUACUUUCUAAAUAUAUUAAAACUUGUCAUGUGACCAAUUUGAGUGGGACCAGUCAAUUUUUUCUUUUGUUUCCGUCUCUUUUCCUCGUCUCCAUCUCAAAAUUGUAACCUCGUCAGCCAACCAAUUCAAUAUGGUAAGCUAUGUAAAACUUUCGAUUUGUUGUCAUAGUUAUUUAUUCAUUUAUUCCCGACUUGUACAUGUGUGGGUGUUGCAUUCAAUUGUUUAAUCUCUAGCUUACUAGUUGUUGUAAUUGUGCAUCUCCGGUGGCCGACACAUAGGCUCUGUUAAUUUAUCUUUACUGCAGAAUGAGAAAAAGCAUCGAAAUAAAAAAAUUACGCCUGUUUUUAUGUUUUGGGAGUUGACAAAUGGUUGUCAAAUGUAGUGAGCAAAUGAGGUUACAAGAGAUGUGACUAAAUUUAGAAAGUUUAUUUAAGAAAGCUGUUCGAAAGGAGUUUUUGAGUACCUAAAUUAUUGAUUUAGGGAUUAUUUUAGAGAACUACUGGAGUUGAGCAUCUCCAAUAAUCUUAAAAAUAUAUGUUAUGUAUUACAAGCUUUCUAAAACUUCAAUUUCUAAAAAAGUGUCAAUACUCUAACAACUCCUAAUAUUUUACAAAAACUAAAUUGCACCGUCGCCACCACACCAAUUCGAGCUUCGAGCAGACCGUGCCCACCGCUAGCCAGCUACACCAGGCUACCAGCUCCACAUCCGGCAAGCAGCGUGUCAGCAGCAGCCUCUCCCAGUACAUAUAGGUGUACAUUCGGGCCGUCCGGCCCGGCCCGGCCCAAGCCCGAAAAGGCCCGUAUUGUUUGAAUUUCAGCCCGGCCCGACCCGUUUGAAUUUCGGGCCGUGCCGGGCCGUGCCGGGCCGGCCCAUGGGCCUAGCUCUUGGCCCACGGCCCGGACCGUAAUUGCUUAAACGUGUCGGCCUCAUUUCGGGCGGCCUGAAAUUAUAAAAGCCCGAAAUUCAAUCUUUGGCCCGAAAUUCAAAUUAGAGCCCUAAAUUCAAAAAAUAAAUAAAAUAAAUAAAAGAUAAGACAAAUAAAUUUGAACAAAAUCAAAAUUAAUAUUUGUAUUAAAGUUACCACAGCUAUGCAAUGACUACCUCGUUUAUAAAUCAUUUUGUUAGAAGGAAAAAGAGUAUAAUCAGCUCUAUACAAAGUUUGUAAGUUCAAUUUAUUGUCUAAUGUUCAUAACAAAAGUAAAAUUACAUCACAUACUCUAAUUCAAAGCUACAAAAACAUCUAACUAGCAUUAUCUCUAGCUUUGUGUUCUUUAUCAAGUAUAUGAAAAUGUGGAAUGAAGUGUGGUUUUAAUAAAUAUAUGAGCCUUUUCGUGCCUCUAUAUGGGCUAUUUCGUGCCUGCCUUAAACGGGCCGUGCUCGUGCCCACCCAUGGGCUGUGACCUCGACCCAAACCCGGCCCGAUAUAACGGGUCGUGCCAGCCCGACACUAAAAUAUUUUAGGCCGUGCCGUGCUUGGGCCGUGCUUUUUUUCCGUGCUUCGGGGCGGCCCAUCAGGCCCGGCCCAAAUGUACACCUAUACCAGUACACAACUCCUGUCGUCGGUUGGCGCGUUGCGCCGUGGCCAUGACUAGGAUAGCUCGACGUUGCUCCAUAUCAAGAACGUCUUAUUGUCGUAGAGUUGUUACGGCUUGACUCGGCCCCUCAGCCUCGUGGGACAGGAACUGCGGUGGAUUGGGAUUGAUAUUUGCGUCAUGGAGGGAUUGAUAUUCGUGUGUGGGGGAGUUUAGGAGUAAAGCUAGGGAAUAGUUAGCGAGCUAUUUUUUCUUUUUCCUCUAAAAUAAGGAUUGGAACUGAGGUUUUAACGAACUAUUGGAGAUGCUCUUAUACCAGCACGUAGAUAGUUUAGAGAGACAUAUAGAUGGUUAAACGGACGGUCCGUUCCAAUACAACCUAUUUAGGGUAUGGUUCAUUAGGCUCAGCUAGCUAUUUAGGUCAUGCGGGUCAGUCCAUGUGCUGCAGCCUAGGCACGACACGUCGAUCUGUUAACCGUGCUGGACCAACAUGUUAGCACGUCAGGCCCAUUGCCAAAAAAAUCACCGCGAACAAGAGUUUGAACCCUGGCCCAUACCCGAGAGAGCUUAGCCAUGUGCCACAAACCAACGCAACUAAGGUUGUCCGGAGAUAUAUGAAUUUAAAAUAAAAUAUUAAUCAUGUCGUGGCCAAGAAGGCGACCUAUGCAUGACAUGCCUUUGUGACGGGUCGUGCCUCGUGGGUUAGCGCACCAAACACGGCCCAUCUGGCCAUCUAUAGAUAGACUCAAGAAACAAUGUGCAUAAAUACUUUAUGUCCUUUUGCCACCGAUGGAUUAAUGAACAUAGAUACGAACAAGAUUACAAGCUCAAGAAACUAUUUAGUGCAUGACCUCCUAAUUCUCCCUUCAGACUUGGUUUUUAUGAGAGUUUUAACCUAUCGAUUUCUAGUUCAUCUUUACAUCUAUCCUCAAAUGUUGCACACCAUUACACCAUGAGGGGUCCCCACUCUGAAUCCAUGGGAGUCAUUUUUGAAUCAACAAAUUCGAUCUCCAUAAACAUUACUCUGCUUCCCUUUUUAUAGACCAAGGAACAAAGAUGAUUACACGUGGAUCGAACCAUGGGUCCAGUCAGUUAAGAACCAAGAACUCUAAUCUUAUCCUUGUUGUAAAGUCAUACGCAAAGCCAUAUAUUUGGUCAUGGUACAAUAUUCUGGAUGUCCUAGUUUAGUGACAAACACACUUGCCAUAGAGGUAGGUAUGUUAUGCCAUGUCAAUGGACAACAAAGUCCAUAGUGAUAGAUCUAACUAACUCCCACGGUGAUAAACGACUAGGCCCUCCUCUCUUAGGUCGAUAGGUUGAGCAGCAGGUUUGAGGACCCUUAGCUCGAACGUCCCUGCAGACAUUGGUGCGUGAGUUGAAGAUAGAGUGGAGAUCUUAUCUAGUAUUGUGUUUUCUGCCUUUGGAAUAUACAUAUAGUGCACAACAUCAUAUGAUAGCUCUAACUCCUUAAAUUUGAUGGUGUAGGCUGCCAGCUACACAUUGUUACAUAUGUAGAGCCUACACUCUUAGUUAAUCAUCAACUAGGAGUCACCUCUAACUGAUAGCUAGCGAACCUUGAGAGAGGUGAUAGUUUUUAGACCCAUGAUGAGCAUCUCAUACACGACCAUGUUAUUUGUGGUAGAGAAAUAAAGUAGGCAUACAUAGUGGAUCUAUUCACUAGUUGCGAAAACUAGAAGAAAUCGUGUGGUGGCGCUUGGGGGACACCUUUGAUUGGUAAAUGGCGAACCCCAAGAGAUAUGGUGGAUUUUAGGCCCAUAAUGAGCACCUCAUACUCAACCAUGUUGUUUGUGUUGGAGAAGUAAAGUUGGCAUACAUGGUGAUGUGGUCAUCAGUUGGACAAACCAGAAAAAACCUAUGUUGACAUUAUCGCGUCGCUUGGACCCUUCAAACCACCUAAGGGUUGCCAUUGAGAGCUGGUUCAGAAACAACCUAGAUGGUCUCCUAAUCUAAGUCCAGAUGACUUGAAGGAGACCAUGUAACCACAAAGUAUAAGAGUGUCUAGCUCUUCUCUAGGUGGUUAGUGAUAAAAUUGAGGUCAAACUCUAAUGUCUUAGCUAUUCACUUCGCUAUGCGUCCGAUAGCAUGUUGAUUGUACAACACUGCUCUUGAGAGCACCUAGAGGUGGUGAAUAGGUGAUCUAUAAAAAAUUAACUCAACAAAACAAACUUGGACUAAUAUUGGAUUAGUGAAAGUGAAAGCCAAGUCCUAAUGAAGAGGAUGAGAGGAGAGAACUUCUUCACUUAAUUGCUCUCACAAAGUGAAUAUUAAACUUAGAGCAAUUAUGAAGUAAAUUGAACUACUAGAAAGAGUAGAAUCGCUAUAAAGUAAAGAGACAGUUGACACGAUGAUUUUAUCACGUGGUUCGGUCAAGCGUAAAAUACUUACAUAAUCCACGUUGUGGUGUCCCAAUGGACCAGGGUUGCACUCAACCCCUCUCAAGCGAUCCACUGAUCAACUUGAGUACCACUCUUAUCUCAACUUUUUCCCGUUGUGAGAAAUCUCCACAAUUUGGAGUCUCUCAUGCCUCACACAAUUUGAUCUCAAAUGAACUCAAUAGUAAGGGGAGUAGAAACACACACAAGAGACAAAAGUCACAGCAACACAUGCUCGCAAGUCAAGAGAGAGGCACAAGAAACAACACAGCGGAACUACAACUCAAGAACUUGCUCAAAUCUCAAACUAUCGAAGCUCUAGCGUGAUCGCAGUGUCUCGGUGUCUUAGGAUGUUCAAGGGAUGUUUGGUGUUGUGCUCCAUGCGCCAAGGGGUCUCUUAUAUAGCCCCAAGGGCCAAAGGAUCCGUUGCUCCUUCAUUAGGAAGGCCCUGAUUGCCUUCUGUCUGUGGGCGCACCGGACAGUCCGGUGCACCACCGGACAGUGAACAGUGUGCGAUUCCCUUCCUUUUCUAGCGAAGCCGAGCUUUGCCAGCCUCUGGUCCCAUGGCACACCAGACAGUCUGGUACGGCCUGGUGACCAUUGCCUGGGCACACGUGGCGCCCGCUGAUCCGCGACCGACCGUUGGAUGGGUGCACGACUGUCACACCAGACUGUCUGGUGUACACCGAACAGUCCAAUGAAUUACAGACGCGGUACCUUGGCUUUUUCCUAAGAGCGACAUGUUCAUCCGGGUGCGCAAGCCUGGCACCAGAAACUGUCCGGUGCACACCAGACAGUCCGGUACACCGCAGGCUAGUGCAAGUUUGGUUAGACUUAGCCAAACUUCUUCAUUUGAAUUUCUCUCGAUUUGAAAAUAUCCAUAGCACUUAGUAGAGCAUAGUUAGUGCCAAAUACAAUUUACUAAGUGCUAGAAUCAUACCUUCGUUUCUCCAAGAUUGUAGAGUUUGCAAAUUAUCUUUACAACCCUCAAUUUGCUUCUCCUUUGACUCUGAGCUCAUACUCACAAUUAUAUGUUAGAUCAAAGUGAUUUGUUAGGCAUUUAUUCACCAAAACACUUAGAAAUAGCCCAAGGGCACAUUUCCCUUUCAGUCUCCCCCUUUUUGGUGAUUCAUGCCAACAUAUCAAAAGCAACUUGAAAUGCAUUAACAUAUCAAAUGCGAGCUCAAAAGUCCACCUUAAUGUCAAAUUGAAGACCAAUAAAUUUAUCGUAGGUUUUGGCAUAUUUAGAUCCUUUUUGCCACCACUUGGGUUGUUGUCGCAAAACAAAUUCAUUUUCCUAUCUCUUUGUCAAAAACACUUUGAUUUGGCAAAUCCAAAAUAUCUUUCAAGACGAUCUUUGAUCAAACGCCAAAAACUCCCCUCUUUUUCCCAUAAUCAAAUUUCUCUCCCAUAAGAGAGUAGUUUUUGCAAUAAGAGGGUUUCGAUAAAAAACCAAGUAUACUUAUACUAAAAUUUUGAAAAGUUCACAAAUGGUAGCUGAUCCAGUUGCUUUGGCCUUAAUUUCUCCCCCUUUGGCAUUAAGCACCAAAACAGAAGAACUAAGAACCAAGGGCAACGAUAGAACACAAUAGGGACAUGGAGCAAAGGUGAUUUAUACCGGAAUGCAGUGGAAGCCUCUUCUUUGUCCAAGUUCACCUUUUUUCCUUUCAAUCCAUCUUUGAGACCACAUCAUAAGUACUCAAGCAAAAACAUUAGUCUCAAAGGGUCAAGUUGUAGCACAUCCUCCCCCUAAACAUAUGCAUCUUUUGCACAAGGACUUGUGAGGUCCGGGGAUGACUUGUACAACUUGAGCACCAAAAUAAGCAAGUAAAGACUAUGAUGCUUAAAAUAACAUGAUCAAAGGCAUAAAACACAUGCAAGCUAUAAAUCAAUCCAAGUUCUAUGAUAUCCUGGUCCCUGGGAUGGUGAUAUCCUGGCCCAAGACUUAAUAGAAUUAAUAGAGUAUCCAUACCAACAAGGUGCAUCUUAUUUUUCGGAAGCCUUUCUUGAAAGAACCUCCAAGUUAAGUGUGCUUGGCUUGGAGCAAUUUGGGAUGGGUGACCGACUGGGAAGUUUUCUCGGGUGCGCAUGAGUGUGGACAAAAUGCGCACAAAAGACUCGUGUUGGUUUGUGGGGACAAUAUAUGAUCCUAGCGAGCUGCCAGGAGUAAGUACCGCCGGUCCAGGGAUUGGACGGGGUGUUACAAGUGGUAUCAGAGCCGACCCUCGUGGUUUCACGGGCGUGUGUGGGUUAGGGGUUCGGGUAUAUGGCGUAUGGCGCAUGUGGGCCCGGAGUGGUCACAUGGCAUGGCAUAUGACGACAUUAGACACACAGACGUGGCUAAGAGGGGAGGUUCCUGGAUUGGGGUUGACCGACUAGGACGUUGGUCUUCUAAGGGGGGUGGAUUGUGAUAUCCUGGCCCUUGGGAUGGUGAUAUCCUAGCCCAAGACUUAAUAGAAUUAAUAGAGUAUUCGUACCAACAAGGUGCAUCUUCUUUUUUGGAAGCCUUUCUCGAAAUAACCUCAAAGUUAAGCAUGCUUGGCUUGGAGCAAUUUGGGAUAGGUGACCGACCGGGAAGUUUUCUCGGGUGCGCAUGAGUGAGGACAAAAUGUGCACAAAAGACUCGUGUUGGUUUGUGGGGACAAUAUAUGAUCCUAGCGAGCUGCCAGGAGUAAGUACCGUCGGUACAGGGAUUGGACGAGGUGUUACAAGUUCCACGUAUUUAGGACAUUUAGCUCACUACGCAGCCUGCAAAACCUCUUCUCAUCUAAAGGCUUGGUGAAGAUAUAGUUCUCGGUGCUAAUGUGGCAAAGAUCGAUAUCUCCCCUUUGCUGGUGGUCUCUCAAAAAGUGAUGCCGAAUGUCUAUGUGCUUAGUGCGGCUGUGUUCAAUAGGAUUAUCCGCUAAGCAAAUUGCACUCUCAUUGUCACAUAGGAGUGGGACUUUGCUCAAAUUGUAGCCAAAGUCCCCAAGGAUUUGCCUCAUCCAAAGUAGUUGCACGCAACAAUGGCAUGUGGCAACAUACUCGGCCUCAGCGUUGGAUAGGGCAACAGAUGUUUGUUUCUUAGAGCUCCAAGACACUAGGGACCUUCCUCGAAACUGAUAAGUCCCUGAUGUGCUCUUCCUAUCAACCUUGCACCCAGCAUAGUCGGAAUCUGAAUAUCCGAUUAAGUCAAAGGUAGACCCCUUUGGAUACUAGAUCCCGAAGCAAGGCAUAUGUACUAAGUAUUAAGAAUUCACUUUACAGCCACAAGAUGACAUUCCUUGGGGUUAGAUUGAAAUCUAGCACACAUGCAUACGCUAAGCAUUAUAUCCGGUCUACUAGCACAAAGAUAAAGUAAUAAACCUAUCAUAGAUCGGUAUGUCUUUUGAUCAACGGACUUACCUCCCUUGUCGAGGUCCAAGUGCCCAUCGGUUCCCAGUGGUGUCUUGGCGGGCUUUGUGUCCUUCAUCCCAAACUGUCGGGUGUGAUAAUUAGGGGUACCCAGAUUAUCCCUCUAAAAACGCACUUAGAAAAGGUUAAGACAUAACCCCAAAGGAAAGCAGCCGAGACACCUCGUAACCCAAGGCCCCCCGUGAAGGUCUUCCCUAUAGGCACCGAGGUCCCUCCCUAAGGGUCUCCCGCCUUAGGGAAAUCUCCGUCUCGCCCAAAGUCACCAAUGCUCCAUCUGUCUCGCCCGAGCCGAUCCUAGGAAGAUAGGACAAAGGCACCCGAAGGCUGGCAGGGGACACUCGCGUUUAAUGCGCAUACCUACCCCAUGUAGAGGCACAAAAGCACAGUGACUAACAAGAAAGCGGUCAUGUCCAAGCGCAACAAAAUGAUUACUCUCUCAUCACUGUGCACACACGCUGCCUGCCAUCCCCCGAUGUGACAUCUAAUAUGACAGGAGAAGCAGACUGGCCCUCAGGCGCAAAUCUCCACCUCGCCCGACGCUGGGCUCGACCUCAGGUGCAAUCUUCGUCUCGCCCGACGCUGAGCUCGGCCUCGGGUGAUAUCUGAAAGGGAAUUAGGCUUACACCUAGUUCCUAAAUAAUUUUGGUGGUUGAAUUGCCCAACACAAACAAAUGGACUAACUAGUUUGCUCUAGUGUAUAAGUUAUACAGGUGUAAAAGGUUCACACUCAGCCAAUAAAAAGACCAAAUGUUGGGUUCAACAAAAGAGGAAAGGAACAACCGAAGGCUCCUCUGGUCUGGCACACCGGACUGUCCGGUGCACCACCGGACAGUGUCCGGUGCACCACCGGACAGUGUCCGGUGCACCAGAGGAAUCCAACUCCAACUCGUCACCUUCGGGAAAAUCCAGAGCCAGCGCGCUAUAAUUCACCGGACUGUCCGGUGUACACCGAACAGUGUCCGGUGCUCCAACGGGACGCGACUCAGAAACUCGCCAGCCUCGAGAUUUCAUGAAGGCUGCUCCGCUAUAAUUCACCGGACAUGUCCGGUGUGCACCGGACUGUCCGGUGCAUCCUCGGAGCAACGGCUACUUCGCGCCAACGGCUACCUGCAACGCAUUAAAUGCGCGCGCAGCGCGCGCAGAAGGCAGGCGAGCCCAUACCGGCGCACCAGACACUGAACAGUUCAUGUCCGGUGCGCCACCGGACAUCGAGGCGGGCCCAGAAGUCAGAACUCCAACGGUCAGAUUCCAACGGCACUGGUGACGUGGCUGGGGCACCGGACAUGUCUGGUGUGCACCGGACUGUCCGGUGCGCCAUCGAACAGACAGCCUCCACCAACGGUCAAGUUUGGUGGUUGGGGCUAUAAAUACCCCAACCACCCCCACAUUCAUUGCAUCCAAGUUUUCCACUUCUCAACCACUUACAAGAGCUAGGCAUUCAAUUCUAGACACAUUAAAGAGAUCAAAUCCUCUCCAAUUCCACACAAGGCUUUAGUGAUUAGCGAGAGAGAUUUGCCGUGUUCUUUUGAGCUCUUGCGCUUGGAUUGCUUCUUUUCUUUCUCACUUGUUCUUGUGAUCAAAACUCCAUUGUAAUCAAGGCAAGAGGCACCAAUUGUGUGGUGGCCCUUGCGGGGAAGUUUUGUUCCCGGUUUUCGAUUAGAGAAGAGAAGCUCACUCGGUCCGAGGGACCGUUUGAGAGAGGGAAGGGUUGAAAGAGACCCGGCCUUUGUGGCCUCCUCAACGGGGAGUAGGGAUGGCAACGGGUACAUACCCAUCGGGUAGUACCAUUCCAUACCCAUACCCAUCAAAAAAUAUUCUACCCGUCGGGUUACCCAUAUAUACUCGCGGGUAUAAAAUCUUACCCAUACCCGUACCCGCGCGGGUAUUUUUACCCGUCGGGUAACCCGUACCCGCUAGGAAAGUCUUAAAUUCUAAUAUACCAAUCACUCAAAAUAUUAAAUAAACAUAUAAAAACAACUUCAACUUCACAUAUAACAAAUCAUAUGAUUACAUAACUUGGUAUCUAGACAAAUGAUAGCUAGAGAAGGGUUUUAUUUUAGCUAAGAUGGGCUCUAUUAGAUGGUUAUAGUUGUAUUGAUGCGGGUAUAUUUUACCCAUGGGUAGACGGGUAUGGGUAGUUGCAACCCGUACCCGUACCCGUCUACCCAACGGGUAGAGGUUUUUACCCAUUAACAUACCCGCGGGUAGAGAAAUCAUCCCGUACCCGCCUUCAUAUCGGGUAAAACCCGUCGGGUAUUCGGGUUUCGGGUACCCAUUGCCAUCUCUAACGGGGAGUAGGUUUGAGAGAACCGAACCUCGGUAAAACAAAUCCACAUGUCUCACUUCAUUAUUCGCUUGCGAUUUGUUUUCACCCUCUCUCGCGGACUCGCUUUUAUUUCUAACGCUAACCCGGCUUGUAGUUGUGUUUAUAUUUGUAAAUUUCAGUUUCGCCCUAUUCACCCCCCCCCCUCUAGGCGACUAUCAAUUGGUAUCGGAGCCUGGUGCUUCAUUAGAGCCUAACCGCUCGAAGUGAUGUCGGGAGAUCACGCCAAGAAGGAGAUGGAGACCGGCGAAAAGCCCACUACAAGCCACGGGAGCACUUCAUCGGAAGAGUCCCGCACCAAGAGAAAGGAGAAGAAGAACUCCUCCAAAGGGAAGGAGAAGAAGUCUUCUUCACACCACAAGGAGAAGAAGGAGAAAUCCUCUUCUCACAAGACGCGUCGGAGUGGGGACAAGAAAAAGAGGAUGAGGAAAGUGGUCUACUACGAGACCGAUUCUUCAUCGCCAUCCACCUCCGGCUCCGACGCGGCGUCCGUCACUUCUAAGCGCCAAGAGCGCAAGAAGUAUAGUAAGAUCCCCCUACGCUACCCUCGCAUUUCUAAACAUACAUCUUUACUUUCCGUCCCAUUAGGCAAACCACCAACUUUUGAUGGUGAAGAUUAUGCUAGGUGGAGUGAUUUAAUGCGAUUUCAUCUAACCUCACUCCACAAAAGUAUAUGGGAUGUUGUUGAGUUUGGUGCACAGGUACCAUCCGUAGGGGAUAAAGACUAUGAUGAGGAUGAGGUGGCCCAAAUCGAGCACUUCAACUCUCAAGCGACAACAAUACUCCUCGCCUCUCUAAGUAGAGAGGAGUAUAACAAAGUGCAAGGGUUGAAGAGCGCCAAGGAGGUUUGGGAUGUGCUCAAAACCGCUCACGAAGGAGAUGAGCUCACAAAGAUCACCAAGCGGGAGACGAUCGAGGGGGAGCUCGGUCGGUUCCGGCUUCGCAAAGGGGAGGAGCCACAAAACAUGUACAACCGGCUCAAGACCUUGGUGAAUCAAGUGCGCAACCUCGGGAGCAAAAAGUGGGAUGACCACGAGGUGGUUAAGGUUAUUCUAAGAUCUCUUAUUUUCCUUAACCCUACUCAAGUUCAAUUAAUCCGUGGCAACCCAAGGUACACACUAAUGACCCCCGAGGAAGUAAUCGGGAAUUUUGUAAGUUUUGAGUGCAUGAUCGAAGGCUCGAGGAAGAUCAACGAGCUUGAUGAUCCCUCCACAUCCGAAGCUCAACCCGUCGCAUUCAAGGCGACGGAGGAAAAGAAGGAGGAGUCUACACCAAGUAGACAACCAAUCGACGCCUCCAAGCUCGACAAUGAGGAAAUGGCGCUCGUCAUCAAGAGCUUCCGCCAAAUCCUCAAACAAAGGAGAGGGAAAGACUACAAGUCCCGCUCCAAGAAGGUUUGCUACAAGUGUGGUAAGCCCGGUCACUUUAUAGCUAAAUGUCCAUUAUCAAGUGAUAGUGACAGGGGCGACGACAAGAAGGGGAGAAGAAAGGAGAAGAAGAGGUACUACAAGAAGAAGGGCGGCGAUGCCCAUGUUUGUCGGGAGUGGGACUCCGACGAAAGCUCUAGCAACUCCUCCGACGACGAGGACGCCGCCAACAUCGUCGUCACCAAGGGACUUCUCUUCCCCAACGUCGGCCACAAGUGCCUCAUGGCAAAGGACGGCAAAAAUAAGGUUAAAUCUAAAUCCUCCACUAGAUAUGAAUCCUCAAGUGAUGAUAAUGCUAGUGAUGAGGAAGAUAGUUUGCGCACUCUUUUUGCCAACCUCAACAUGCAACAAAAAGAGAAACUUAAUGAAUUGAUUAGUGCCAUUCAUGAAAAGGAUGAUCUCUUGGAUACCCAAGAGGACUUCCUUAUUAAAGAAAAUAAGAAGCAUGUUAAGGUUAAAAAUGCUUAUGCUCUAGAGGUAGAAAAAUGUGAGAAAUUAUCUAGUGAGCUAAGUACUUGCCAUGACACUAUUACCAACCUUAGAAAAGAAAAUGCUAGUUUAAAUGCUAAGAUUGAUUCACAUGUUUGUAAUGUUUCAAUUCCCAAUCUUAGAAAUGAUAAUGAUGAUUUGCUUGCUAAGAUUGAAGAAUUGAACAUCUCUCUUGCUAGCCUUAGAGUAGAGAAUGAAAAUUUAAUUGCUAAGGCUAAAGAACUAGAUGUUUGCAAUGUUACAAUUUCCGAUCUUAGAGAUAAAAAUGAUAUCUUGCGUGCUAAGAUCGUUGAACUUAAUUCAUGCAAACCCUCUACAUCUAGUGUUGAGCAUGUUUCCAUUUGUACUAGAUGUAGAGAUGUUGAUAUUAAUGCUAUUCAUGAUCACAUGACUUUAAUUAAACAACAAAAUGAUCAUAUAGCAAUAUUAGAUGCAAAAAUUGCCGAGCAUAACUUAGAAAAUGAGAAAUUUAAAUUUGCUAGAAGUAUGCUCUAUAGUGGGAGACGCCCUGGCAUCAAGGAUGGCAUUGGCUUCCAAAGGGGGGACAAUGUCAAACUUAAUGCCCCUCCUAAAAGAUUGUCCAACUUUGUUAAGGGCAAGGCUCCCAUGCCUCAGGAUAACAAGGGUUACAUUUUAUACCCUGCCGGUUAUCCCGAGGACAAAAUUAGGAAAAUUCAUUCUAGGAAGUCUCACUCUGGUUCUAACCAUGCUUUUAUGUAUAAGAGUGAGACAUCUAGCUCUAGGCAACCAACCCGUGCUAAGUUGCCUAAGAAGAAAAUUCAUAUUGCAUCAAAUGAACAUAGCUUUUCAUUUAAAACCUUUGAUGCAUCAUAUGUUUUGACUAACAAAUCCGGCAAGGUUGUUGCCAAGUAUGUUGGGGGCAAACACAAGAACUCCAAAACUUGUGUUUGGGUUCCCAAAGUUCUUGUUUCUAAUGCCAAAGGACCCAAAACCGUUUGGGUACCUAAAGUCAAGAACUAAAAUUGUUUUGUAGGUUUAUGCAUCCGGGGGCUCAAGUUGGAUACUCGACAGCGGGUGCACAAACCAUAUGACAGGGGAGAAAAAGAUGUUCUCCUCCUACGAGAAAAACCAAGAUCCCCAACGAGCUAUCACAUUCGGGGAUGGAAAUCAAGGUUUGGUCAAAGGUCUUGGUAAAAUAGCUAUAUCUCCUGAUCAUUCUAUUUCCAAUGUUUUUCUUGUAGAUUCAUUAGAUUACAAUUUGCUUUCUGUAUCUCAAUUAUGCAAAAUGGGCUACAACUGUCUUUUCACUGAUAUAGGUGUCACUGUCUUUAGAAGAAGUGAUGAUUCAAUAGCAUUUAAGGGUGUGUUAGAGGGUCAGCUAUACUUGGUAGAUUUUGAUAGAGCUGAACUCGACACAUGCUUAAUUGCUAAGACUAACAUGGGUUGGCUCUGGCACCGCCGACUAGCCCAUGUUGGGAUGAAGAAUCUUCAUAAGCUUCUAAAGGGAGAACACAUUUUAGGACUAACAAAUGUUCAUUUUGAGAAAGACAGGAUUUGUAGCGCAUGCCAAACAGGAAAGCAAGUUGGUGCUCAUCAUCCACACAAGAACAUCAUGACGACCGACAGGCCGCUUGAGCUACUCCACAUGGAUCUAUUCGGACCGAUUGCUUACAUAAGCAUCAGUGGGAGUAAGUAUUGUCUUGUAAUAGUGGAUGAUUAUUCUCGCUUCACUUGGGUGUUCUUUUUGCAGGAAAAAUCUCAAACCCAAGAAACCUUAAAAGGAUUCUUGAGACGGGCUCAAAAUGAGUUCGCCUUAAGGAUCAAGAAAAUAAGAAGCGACAACAGAACGGAGUUCAAGAACUCUCAAAUUGAAGGCUUCCUUGAGGAGGAGGGCAUCAAGCAUGAGUUCUCUUCUCCCUACACGCCACAACAAAAUGGUGUAGUGGAGAGGAAGAAUAGAACUCUAAUGGACAUGGCAAGAACCAUGCUUGAUGAAUACAAGACUUCGGAUCGGUUUUGGGUGGAAGCAGUCAACACCGCAUGCUAUGCCAUCAACCGGUUAUAUCUACACCGAAUCCUCAAGAAGACAUCUUAUGAACUCCUAACCGGUAAAAAGCCCAACAUCUCAUAUUUUAGAGUCUUUGGUAGCAAAUGCUUUAUUCUUGUUAAAAGAAGUAGAAAAUCUAAAUUUGCUCCUAAGACUGUAGAAGGCUUUUUACUAGGAUAUGAUUCAAACACAAGGGCAUAUAGAGUCUUUAACAAGUCCACUGGACAAGUUGAAGUUUCUUGUGACGUUGUGUUUGAUGAGACUAAUGGCUCUCAAGUAGAGCAAGUUGAUCUUGAUGAGAUAGGUGAUGAAGAGGCUCCAUGCAUCGCACUAAGGAACAUGUCCAUUGGGGAUGUGUGCCCUAAGGAAUCCGAAGAGCCUCCAAAUACACAAGAUCAACCAUCCUCCUCCACGCAAGCAUCUCCACCGACUCAAAAUAAGGAUGAAGCUCAAGUUGAUGAAGUAGAAGAUCAAGCAAAUGAGCCACCUCAAGAUGACGGCAAUGAUCAAGGGGGAGAUGCAAAUGAUCAAGACAAGGAGGAUGAAGAGCAAAGGCCGCCACACCCAAGAGUCCACCAAGCAAUCCAACAAGAUCACCCCGUCGACACCAUCCUCAGCGACAUUCAUAAGGGGGUAACCACUAGAUCUCGUGUUGCACAUUUUUGUGAACAUUAUUCUUUUGUUUCCUCUAUUGAGCCACACAGGGUAGAGGAAGCACUCCAAGAUUCGGAUUGGGUGGUGGCGAUGCAAGAGGAGCUCAACAACUUCACCAGGAAUGAGGUAUGGCAUUUAGUUCCACGUCCUAAUCAAAAUGUUGUAGGAACCAAAUGGGUCUUCCGCAACAAGCAAGAUGAGCAUGGUGUGGUGACAAGGAACAAAGCUCAACUUGUGGCCAAGGGAUACUCUCAAGUCGAAGGUUUGGAUUUCAGUGAAACCUAUGCACCCGUAGCUAGGCUUGAGUCAAUUCGUAUAUUAUUGGCCUAUGCUACUUACCAUGGCUUUAAGCUUUAUCAAAUGGACGUGAAAAGUGCCUUCCUCAAUGGACCAAUCAAGGAAGAGGUCUAUGUUGAGCAACCUCCCGGCUUUGAAGACAGUGAGUACCCUAACUAUGUCUAUAAGCUCUCUAAGGCGCUUUAUGGGCUCAAGCAAGCCCCAAGAGCAUGGUAUGAAUGCCUUAGAGAUUUCCUUAUUGCUAAAUGGCUUCAGAGUCGGAAAGGCUGAUCCUACUUUAUUCACUAAAACUCUUGAAAAUGACUUGUUUGUAUGCCAAAUUUAUGUUGAUGAUAUUAUAUUUGGGUCUACUAAUGAGUCUACAUGUGAAGAAUUUAGUAGGAUCAUGACACAGAAGUUCGAGAUGUCUAUGAUGGGGGAGUUGAAAUACUUCUUGGGAUUUCAAGUGAAGCAACUCCAAGAGGGCACCUUCAUUAGCCAAACAAAGUAUACUCAAGACAUUCUAAACAAGUUUGGAAUGAAGGAUGCCAAGCCCAUCAAGACACCCAUGGGAACUAAUGGGCAUCUCGACCUCGACACGGGAGGCAAGUCCGUGGAUCAAAAGGUAUACCGGUCGAUGAUAGGUUCUUUACUCUAUUUAUGUGCAUCUCGACCGGAUAUUAUGCUUUCCGUAUGUAUGUGUGCGAGAUUCCAAGCCGACCCUAAGGAAGCUCACCUUACGGCCGUAAAACGAAUCUUGAGAUAUUUGGCUUAUACUCCUAAGUUUGGGCUUUGGUAUCCUAGGGGAUCCACUUUUGAUUUGAUUGGUUAUUCGGAUGCCGAUUGGGCGGGGUGCAAAAUCAAUAGGAAGAGCACAUCGGGGACUUGCCAAUUCUUGGGAAGAUCCUUGGUGUCUUGGGCUUCAAAGAAGCAAAAUUCGGUCGCUCUUUCCACCGCCGAAGCCGAGUACAUUGUCGCAGGCUAUUGUUGCGCGCAAUUACUUUGGAUGAGGCAAACCCUGCGGGACUACGGUUACAAAUUGACCAAAGUCCCUUUGCUGUGAUAAUGAGAGUGCAAUCAAGAUGGCGGAUAAUCCCGUCGAGCAUAGCCGCACUAAACACAUAGCCAUUCGGUAUCACUUUUUAAGGGAUCACCAACAAAAGGGAGAUAUCGAGAUUUCAUAUAUUAACACUAAAGAUCAAUUAGCCGAUAUCUUUACCAAGCCACUUGAUGAACAAUCUUUUAACAAACUUAGGCAUGAGCUAAAUAUUCUUGAUUCUAGGAACUUCUUUUGUUAAAUUGCACACAUAGCUCAUUUAUGUACCUUUGAUCAUGUCUCUUUCAUAUGCUAUAACUAAUGUGUUUUCGAGUGAAUUUCAAACCAAGUCAUAGGAAUAUUGAAAGGGAAUUGGAGUCUUCGGCGAAGACAAAGGCUUCCACUCCGUAACUCAUCCCUCGCCGUCACUCCAAGCAACUCUCCAUUCUUGUGGGAGAAAGCAUGAGCACAAAGCAAAAGGACUUCGUCUUUGGUAUAAUCUUAACUCAUUUAUUUAUGACCAAAGAGGAAGAAAGCACUUUGAGGGCUCUAAUGAUUCCGUUUUUGGCGAUUCAUGCCAAAGGGGGAGAAAGUAAGAGCCCAAAGCAAAAGGACCGCACCACCACCAAUUUCAAAAACUUCGUGUUUCCAAGAAUAUUAUCAAUUGGUUUCCUAUUGUGUUCAAAAGGGGGAGAAAGUAGUAUUUCAAAAAUGAUAUAUCAAAACCCUCUUGAACACUAAGAGGAGGAUCUCAUUUAGGGGGAGUUUUAUUUAGUCAAAGGAGAAGCAUUUGAAACAGGGGGAGAAAAUUUCAAAUCUUGAAAAUGCUUUGCAAAAUCUUAUUCAUUUACCUUUGACUAUUUGCAAAAGAACUUUGAAAAGGAUUUACAAAAAGAAUUUGCAAAAACAAAACCUAUGGUGAAAGCGUGGUCUAAAAUGUUAAUUAAGAAAGAAACGAUCCAUGCAUAUCUUGUAAGUAUCUAUAUUGGCUCAAUUCCAAGCAACCUUUAUACUUACAGUAUGCAAACUAGUUCAAUUAUGCACUUCUAUAUUUGCUUUGGUUUGUGUUGGCAUCAAUCACCAAAAAGGGGGAGAUUGAAAGGGAAUUAGGCUUACACCUAGUUCCUAAAUAAUUUUGGUGGUUGAAUUGCCCAACACAAACAAAUGGACUAACUAGUUUGCUCUAGUGUAUAAGUUAUACAGGUGUAAAAGGUUCACACUCAGCCAAUAAAAAGACCAAAUGUUGGGUUCAACAAAAGAGGAAAGGAGCAACCGAAGGCUCCUCUGGUCUGGCACACUGGACUGUCCGGUGUGCCACCGGACAGUGUCCGGUGCACCAGAGGAAUCCAACUCCAACUCGUCACCUUCGGGAAAAUCCAGAGCCAGCACGCUAUAAUUCACCGGACUGUCCGGUGUACACCGGACAGUGUCCGGUGCUCCAACGGGACGCGACUCAGAAACUCGCCAGCCUCGGGAUUUCAUGAAGGCUGCUCCGCUAUAAUUCACCGGACAUGUCCGGUGUGCACCGGACUGUCCGGUGCAUCCUCGGAGCAACGGCUACUUCGCGCCAACGGCUACCUGCAACGCAUUAAAUGCGCACGCAGCGCGCGCAGAAGGCAGGCGAGCCCAUACCGGCGCACCGGACACUGAACAGUUCAUGUCCGGUGCGCCACCGGACAUCGAGGCGGGCCCAGAAGUCAGAACUCCAACGGUCAGAUUCCAACGGCACUGGUGACGUGGCUGGGGCACCGGACAGUCCGGUGCGCCAUCGAACAGACAGCCUCCACCAACGGUCAAGUUUGGUGGUUGGGGCUAUAAAUACCCCAACCACCCCCACAUUCAUUGCAUCCAAGUUUUCCACUUCUCAACCACUUACAAGAGCUAGGCAUUCAAUUCUAGACACAUUAAAGAGAUCAAAUCCUCUCCAAUUCCACACAAGGCUUUAGUGAUUAGCGAGAGAGAUUUGUCGUGUUCUUUUGAGCUCUUGCGCUUGGAUUGCUUCUUUUCUUUCUCACUUGUUCUUGUGAUCAAAACUCCAUUGUAAUCAAGGCAAGAGGCACCAAUUGUGUGGUGGCCCUUGCGGGGAAGUUUUGUUCCCGGUUUUCGAUUUGAGAAGAGAAGCUCACUCGGUCCGAGGGACCGUUUGAGAGAGGGAAGGGUUGAAAGAGACCCGGCCUUUGUGGCCUCCUCAACGGGGAGUAGGUUUGAGAGAACCGAACCUCGGUAAAACAAAUCCACGUGUCUCACUUCAUUAUUCGCUUGCGAUUUGUUUUCACCCUCUCUCGCGGACUCGCUUUUAUUUCUAACGCUAACCCGGCUUGUAGUUGUGUUUAUAUUUGUAAAUUUCAGUUUCGCCCUAUUCACCCCCCCCCCUCUAGGCGACUAUCAAUAUCUCUGCCUCGCCCGAGCUCGGCCUUGGCUACCUACCCCACCGCGAAUCCCGCAGGCGGCCACUCCGUCAAUUGUGGCACACGUCAGGGAAGGCUCAAACAUUGCCUCAGGAAGACUUCCGCUCGCCCGAGCGGGGCUCUGACAUCAAUAAUCACAGCAAAGGAAUCACAACAUCACCCAACACAGGGACGCUAACGCACCUCGUAAGCAGGCUUUCACCCAUACCGAAGAGCUGUUACAACAACUAAGUUAUGGAUGACCCCUCCCCUAGGGGCUCGGGCGUACGGCCAACCCCUCGGCCUCGGUCUCGGCUCUCAGCAGGAAAUCAGCAAGCACAAGUCAACAACGCAGUACACCGUCAUAUUUUGGGAAUAUCAACUUGGAUUUAUGAUAAAACUUGGCUUCAAUUAAUGACAAAUACCUACCAACUAAAAGCAACUGCUUUGAGCUUAACCCCACAUACAGCUAGUCCACUUCAGCCAAACAGGACAUUUGCUGAGUACGUUGAUGUGUACUCACACUUGCUUAAACACCAAACACCAGGUUGUCCCUAUUGCAACCAUUGCUCAGGAGAAGAUGAAGGAAAUGCGGAGGAUUUCCAGGAGUUUUAGGACUUUGAGGAAUUCUAAUCUAGACUAGCGUCAAACCCCUAGUCGGCUGCCUGUGAAGGCCUUAUCUUACUAUGUUUCAUUCAGCACUUUGAUUUAUGUUUAAGUUAAUGACUAUAUGGAUGUUUUGGGCAUCAUGACAUAAUAAAGUUAUACUUAUUUCCGCUAUUAUUUGAGCAUUGUGUGAUGAUGUCCAAUUAUGUAAUCGUUGUGUACGUGAAUUUCUGAUCCUAGCGCGUACAUGGUUCACAUUCGGUUUACCUUCUAAAACCGGGUGUGACAUGUCUGUUCAUCCGGGUGCGCCAGCCUGGAACUGGACACUGUCCGGUGCACACCGGACAGUCCGCUGCACCGCAUGAUGGUGCAAGUUUGGCUAGACUUAGCCAAACUUCUCCAUUUGAAUUUCUCUCGAUUUGAGAAGAUCCCUAGCACUUAGUAGAGCAUAGUUAGUGCCAAAAAUAAUUUACUAAGUGCUAGAAUCAUACCUUCGUUUCUCCAGGAUUCUAGAGUUUGCAAAUUAUCUUUACAAUCCUCAAUUUGCUUCUCCUUUGACUCUGAGCUCAUACUCACAAUUGUAUGUUAGAUCAAAGUGAUGUGUUAGGCACUUGAUUACCAAAACACUUAGAAAUAGCCCAAGGGCACAUUUUCUUUCAGCUCUUAAUGGAAAAUAUGUAACCACUAAAAUUAUAUGCACCUGAAAUAGUGUUGGAGCUUCUUGAAUGCAACAAGGACCACAUAUAUUAGUUUAUGCAUCUCUGGUUACCUAGUCUUAUUGAUGUGGAGGACUUUACUAAUGAAGUAGAUUGGUCAUUGGAAAUGGCGAGUAGCAUGGCGAGAUAAGCCCAACUCAAAGGGGCCAGGGAUCGGAUGGACAACAGUCUCUAAGAGGGCACCCACAGGCUCUAUCUCUGUCGCUACGACUCACCCGACUCACUAAGAGGAGCUGCACCUCCCCUGCUCUGAGUCAGUACAGGCCCCAACAGAAGUCGGGGCUCACGACAUUCACUAUGUGCCCUAACAAUAAUGAGAUCUUUAAAUGUUCACGGGAGAGCCCUUUACUAUGAGGGACUCUCGGCAUUCACUGAGGAUGAUUAUAGAGAUCUGUAGCUACGAAUGUUCAUGGGAGGACCUAAUAGUGGCUAGAGCUCCCAAUACUCAUUAGAGGUUAUGGGAUUGUGCCAGGCCCUCGAGUGUUCACAGAAGGAUCUGACAGUGGCCGAAAGCUCCUAGCAUUUGUUGAGGAUUCCAAGAUAAGCGUUCACGGAAGAACAUAAUGGUGGCUAACAGUGUGUUUGGUUCAGCUAUUGAUUCCUAAAAAUCUGAUUUUAGCUACAAGCUAUGAGGGGGCUGUUAUGAGCUGAUGGCUAUGGGAAAGCUAAAAUCUAUUUGGUUGAAACAAUUGUCAACUAUAGAUUCUAUAAUAGUAUGAUAGCUUGGCAACAUGGCAGGGGGGGACCACCCUGGCCUCUCGAAUGAGUCAAUUCGAUAGCAUGAUAUCAUCGGCAAGGGGUGAUACGCUUUGUCGUGGGGGUAUAUGCCCACAACGCUAUACCCAAACGUUGUGGUUGUAGUCAUGCCCAAUCUAGUGUAUACAAAGCAUCCUAUACGAGUAGCGUGUAUGGCAGUGACAAUAGCUGAAGCGAUAGGUGUUGCGUCAUCGUCUUCCAUUGGUAUGAAGCCUCUCAGUCAUGGAAUAUCAAUGUGGAGUCUAGAGAGAUGUUGAAAGGGAUAGCAUCAUAUAUGGACGAGCAUCGUGGAUGGGGGAUGAUGAGCGAAGAGUAGAUGAGAAAAAUGUAUAAUGUUCAGGGACAACAAAGCCACAUCAUUGACCUCCAAAAUCGAGUGUAGAGAGAUGAUGGCAACUUUAGCUGUCGCUAGGAGGUGUCAUGGAGUGAGAGUCGAGCGACAAAUUAGAUAGAAAAUAAAACGAUUCAACCCUAUAAACAGUAGUAACCGAAUAAUAAUUUCUAAAAAUCUAGAUGACAUAAUUUUUUUUAAAAAAAGAUAAAAGUAUGUUCUGGAUUAAACUAGAGAAAUCUAUAGAUUCUCGUAAAUCUAUUCAUCCCACGUAGCCUUUUGAUUAUGAUUCCAGAUUUUUUGGCUUAGGAUCAUCAUUAUGUCGUUAUUGUAGGAAUCUGAUAUUAACGUUAUGAUCAUAUAGAUCCCAUAUUAAUUGUUUCGUUACCAUCGAAGGAAUCGAAAUGGGAACGCAGCAUGAAAAUCUUGCGGUGAAAACGGCGUUCACAGAGAAAGCGAAGAUCAAUCUACGGCGGGUACAGUCAGUGCGGUGGUCAGUCGGAGGCAGACAAGCGAAGCAGCCAAAACCACCAGCGAGGCGGCGAUGAGUGAGCAAUGAUUCCCCUGCCAAAUCGAAAAAAUCUCCCUGCUAGGCUAGGCACCAAGCCAAGCAAAUCCACUCGAGACCAGACCGGCGACGGCGGCCCCGCGUCCGUCGCCAUCAAAGCCACCGCUGCGGUCGCUCCUCCGGGACCCCUCCUCCUCCGCGGACCACCGCCAGCGCUCGACAGCAACACGCGCACGCCCACGCGCGAAGAGUCAACAGGAGAGAGACUGGCGGUGGUGGAACUGGCAGUAGAAUAAGCUUGCGUCGAGUGGGAGUUGGCGAGGCAUCGCUCGCUUCCCCUCCACCCCACUCUGCCCACCGAGCGCCAGUGGAGCGCUUACUUGACUUGACCUCGCCGCCUCCUGCCCUCCCCCUCCCCCUCCCCCUGCCGGCGCCCGUUCUUUCCUCCCCUCGCCGGACGCCCACCGCCGGAGCGGAAGAGGGGGGAAUGCAGCCGCCGCAGCAAUACCCGCCGGCGCCCGGCUCCUGGGGCGGGGUCGCGGGGGCCAGGGCCGGCGCCACCACCGUGGAUGAGGCGUCCAUGGAACGUAGCAAGAGCUUCAUCAAGGCCCUGCAGGUGCUCCCCGAACCCCGCAUUCCUAGAUCCAUACACGCGCACGCACAAAAAUCCUCCCUUUUUUUCUAAAAGGAAAAGGCUGUCCCUGCUCUGUCUCACCGGGGAUCCGGCUGGAUUUCUGCUUCGUGAUGAUGGCGCAGGAGCUCAAGAACCUGCGGCCGCAGCUCUACACCGCCUCCGAGUACUGCGAGAAGUCCUACCUCCACAGCGAGCAGAAGCAGAAGUGAGUCGCGUUCCCUGCUCCUGCAUUUUACUGCCACACAAAGGGAGAAGGAAUCACUACUACUCACUUCCUAGUCUUACCACGGCGCCCAGCCAUGGUUGCUCUUCGUACAAUUGCAUCUUGCAUGCUGUAUCUAGCACUGUUUUGUCAUUUCGCCUAAGGGUUGAAGGAUCCAAUCGAAGCGUGGGUGCAGCAUGUGCUGGUAGCAACUACACCCAACUACCUAUGAUAGGUGUAGACGACUGAGCCAACUAAGGCAAGGACGGCAACAGGUGUGAGGAAGGGACUUGAUGUGUGAGAUGUGGCUAGAAAACAAACUCUACUGGCUAGAGAAAGAUAUAAUUUUUUGGUAUCAUCUGGAGUUUUGGAGUUACCUGACAACUGUCCCUGUACUGUUCGUAGUCUGAAUUUUGUCACUGCAUUGAAAUUUUAGCAACGGGGACCCCCUCUU